GAUGGACGCUAGCUACAGGCUUAACACAUGCAAGUCGAGGGGCAGCAUUUCAGUUUGCUUGCAAACUGGAGAUGGCGACCGGCGCACGGGUGAGUAACACGUAUCCAACCUGCCGAUAACUCGGGGAUAGCCUUUCGAAAGAAAGAUUAAUACCCGAUGGUAUAAUUAGACCGCAUGGUCUUGUUAUUAAAGAAUUUCGGUUAUCGAUGGGGAUGCGUUCCAUUAGGCAGUUGGUGAGGUAACGGCUCACCAAACCUUCGAUGGAUAGGGGGUUCUGAGAGGAAGGUCCCCCCACAUUGGGAACUGAGACACGGUCCAAACUCCUACGGGAGGCAGCAGUGAGGAAUAUUGGGUCAAGUGGGCGCAGGGCCUGAACCAGCCAAGUAGCGUGAAGGAUGACUGCCCUA
Molecule: ribosomal RNA, 407 nt
Filed under: uncultured bacterium
Lineage: Bacteria
Description: bacterial SSU rRNA
Rfam family: Bacterial small subunit ribosomal RNA
Source: RNAcentral